CCUACGGGAGGCAGCAGUGAGGAAUAUUGGUCAAUGGUCGGGAGACUGAACCAGCCAAGUCGCGUGAGGGAUGAAGGUACAGAGUAUCGUAAACCUCUUUUGUCAGGGAACAAAGGCGGGGACGUGUCCCCGGAUGAGUGUACCUGAAGAAAAAGCAUCGGCUAACUCCGUGCCAGCAGCCGCGGUAAUACGGAGGAUGCGAGCGUUAUCCGGAUUUAUUGGGUUUAAAGGGUGCGCAGGCGGUCUGUUAAGUCAGCGGUCAAAGCCCGGGGCUCAACCCCGGCCCGCCGUUGAAACUGGCAGUCUUGAGUGGGCGAGAAGUAUGCGGAAUGCGCGGUGUAGCGGUGAAAUGCAUAGAUAUCGCGCAGAACUCCGAUUGCGAAGGCAGCAUGCCGGCUCCACACUGACGCUGAGGCACGAAAGCGUGGGUAUCGAACAGGAUUAGAUACCCUAGUAGUC
Molecule: ribosomal RNA, 459 nt
Filed under: uncultured bacterium
Lineage: Bacteria
Description: partial 16S ribosomal RNA
Rfam family: Bacterial small subunit ribosomal RNA
Source: RNAcentral